UAAUCUUAAUGGUGCCAAACAUAUUUGGUUGUAAGAAAAAUGUUAAAAAUAUGAUUAAAAAAAUUGAUUACAGUGAAGAAAGUUAAUUUUACAUACAUAGCGAUUAGUUGACUAAAUGAGGAUUAUAUUUAUUCACAUGAAAAAAUAAUAGUGCAACAAAAAGUGAAUAUAAGCAAUCUACUGUGAAUAAGAACUGUGUGUAUAAAUGCUAAGUGAAUACAAAUUCAUUUGUUCACAAUAAAGAUUUCGUCUUUGAAAUAUUGAUAUGCUCGUUAUAUGCUGAUACGAUAAUUAAUCAUGUGAAACGUUAAAUUUGAACUCUUGGGAGGCUAUUGACGUCUUAAAUAAUUUUCAGCACAAGACCAGCACAUUAACGUACACAAGCAAGUGGAAAGCGUUCUGUCUGAUUGUAUUCCUAAUCUAUUGCUGUAAGCGUGGUUCGCUGCAAAAAUGUCGGACGUUCACGUUUAUAAAGAUGGCGACAUCGUUUGGGUGAAGCUGGGCAACAAUUGGUGGCCGGGCGAAGUGACCGAUGUGCAUCGCCAACCUGAUGAUUUGCUAAAUCAACUAAAGAAGAAACCAUAUUGCGUUGUAAAAUUUUUCCAAGAAGAUGCCUACGAAUAUGUGAAGAGUGCGAAACAUAUAUUUCCAUUCCACUGCAGCAAAAAAGAUGAGUUCAUCAAAAAGGGGACUGCAUUAUAUAAUGCAAAAAACAAAUUUAUGGAGAAGUUCCCCUCAGAUGUCCAGAUAGCAGAGCGUUUAACACGCAAAGCUGCAGAAGGAGAUUUACUGAUUAUCAACGAUCGUCCAGACAGUAUUGUGAAGGCCAUAUUGGGACCAACAUUCACGCGACGUAGUAACGAUUACUAUGAUAAUGAAUACAACAGUACUUCUACAACUGAAUAUAACAAUAAGCGCAGAAGUGGGGAUUCUGUGACGAAAAUUCUCAACAUAACACCAAAACGUGAAAUAACAAACCCAACAACAACUAACCGAAAUGUAGAUAUAAAACAACUGGUCUCACCGCUGCCAACACCGAUGUAUGUUGCAAAUAAAACUGGGAACGCAAACAGCGCAGAUACGAACUUUUAUCGGUGUAAUUUAUGCGAAUUCUCAAGCCAACGUCAAAAUGUUAUGAUACUGCAUCGACGCACACAUAGUGGUAGUAGUGGUAGCUCCCUGACAUCAGCCUUCACACCUUCAACGUCAAGUGCGCGCAAAAUAGUUUCAGCGACCGUAACGUCAGCAGAAGAUUCUAAAGAGUCAAUUAAAGUCCUCCAUGGCACACCACCAACACCAGCAACAUCAACGAAAUCCUCACCAACGGCUGUGAGUGAUGAUGAUGAACGCAAAUAUCCUGCAGCAUUUGACACCAGUCAGGUACAAAUAGCUAAGUUAACACAUAACACGAAAACACCGGCGAAUAGACGCAGCGUUGGCGGCAGCAGAAACAGACAACAACUUUCGGCCAGUGGUGAACGAGUAAGCCGUUCACGUUCGUUGCGCAUUGAUGCUGAUGUCAAAGAGAUUACUCUGCCAGAUGGCAUGCCGAUUACGUCGGCAAAAGGAGAUCUUAAAUUGAGUAUAGAUGACGAUACUACCGAUAACUCAUCAUCGCAUACCGCUGAGGAACUGCUGAGAUCAUGUAGUCCUCGAAAGCAUAAUGUGGGUUUAGGUGAAACAGACAACGGUGCUGCGGUAAUAAAAAGCUCAGCCGAAGAAAUACGUCAACGUCUCUUGGCUGAUUGGAGUGACGGUGAAAAAGACGAUGAAAUGGAUGAUGGCUUUCAAACGCAUAACAACCAGUACGCAUGCUCCAUCACUGAACCGAAAAGCGAUAUUAAUAACUUAAUCAAAACGCCGGGAACAGAUAUAAAAAACGAAGAGUUGGUAUCUAACACUGCGACCCCAAUAAGUGCAGGCAUAAAUAGUGGUUCAUCUCAACGCAUCAGAAACAUACCGAAGAAGGAUCGCCGUGAUGCGGUACUGAAAGAUUUCAACAACGAAUAUACUGUAGAGUUGCCUACUGUUGUAGACGCAGUAGUGGAGAAUAUCAACUACAACAGUAGCAAUAGCUCCGACUCAGUGGUUGUGGUCGCGGUGGUACCUCCGAAUAGUGGUGAAACCAUUAUACUCGAUGACAAUACAGGCACAGAUGGUGAGACCGAGCCUAAUACAGACAAAGGGACAUUGCCUAGCAAUGAAAUGCCGCCUACUGCUUCACCUUUCAAAGCCUUACAAACACAGCAGCUUGGUGUUGGAGAUGAGUUGCAGGAGGAAUGCUUAGUUACAAAGAGCACUAAUGUUCCAGAUUGUGAACAAGAGUUAACAAGUGAGAAAGAUGCUAUUUCUUUACCCACUGAUCCGACACUGAAAACGGGUGAGCAUAUGCAAGAAGCAUUACAGUCCGAGCAACCACAAAGCGAAGAAAACGAAGAUAUUACUGUUGAGAAUACGGCCACCGAGGUAGGCCCGCUUGGCGAACCAUCAAGUGCAGACAACAAAAAGUUGACAAAAGCAGAAAACGAAGAUGGUCAACCGGACGAGUGCGCGCAGAAACCUAGACAAAAAAGUCGUGGAAGAAGGCAGAAAUCUAAUAAAAGACAACGAAAUAAUACGAAGGAAAUGGCGAAGCAAAGUUUAGAAACCACAUCGAAGGUGGAAGAAACACCAACGCUCGUGGAAGGAGUACAAGAAGCAGAUGAACCCACAUCGCUACCACGCUUAAGAGAAGAGGAAAUACCACAGACAAGCAUGACAGCAAAACGACAGGACAAAACUCUAGCCGAUAAUUUUCCACCACACGAGAGCAGGCGUCGACUUUCCACUGAGCAAAAGGAUCAACAGUUGGCAAACGACAUUGAGAAGCUGCUCGAACAAACCACGGCGCCUAGUAUUGUUGAAACAAUGCCAGCUGGUAUAGUUGUGCGUACACAUUCGUACGGCGGCAGUAGCAAGGAAGAAUUGCCAGUUAAGGGUUUGCCCAUUAAAGAACGUGGUAAGCGUAUAUUCAAGUCGCGAAAUCGUUCAAGAAUUGAAGAGUCUUGCACAUUAGCAGCAGCAAUACCGGCAGACAUCGUGCAACCAGCAGAACAAACAACGAAUAUGGAUGGAGCGCAAGUAGAGGAAAACAAUACAGCUGCAUUAUCUUUUGAAAACCAACCAGAGCAGUCGAAACAGCUCGUAGCAGGAAGCGAAUUUGAUACUAGAAUUGAGCAACAUAAUCAAUUCGACUGCAUAGAUGAUGCGGAUAUGGCUGAUGAUGUAAGCGCACAACUGCUCACGGCAAUUGCGGCACCAAAUGAAACAGGGAGAGUUAUCAGUUUAAGCGAGAUGGAAGAAGUAGAUCAAGAUAAAGAGAAUGCCGGAACUGAGGAUACCGUGCGCACCGAUUAUACCGAGGAAACAAUUCUGAAAGCAAAAAAUAUCAAUAACGGUUCUUUGGGCCAUCAAACGACAGUGGAGAUAUUGUGCAAUGCAACUGUGGAGGUAAAGAAAUGCGAGAACGAGGAAGUUAAUGGCGACCUUUCUAGUGCUGCCGAGCCACAUGUCGAGAGUGUAGAUCACUUGCAAAUAUCAAACCGUAAUACUGAACCUACUGGACUAAGCGCUGAAAAUGAACUUGACUCUUCAAUGUCAGUAAUGCCAAAAAGCGGUGAAAAAGAUGAAAAUCAUUCGUUACAUAAGCAUUUUGAGGACGUGACAGAAUCAAACUACGAAAGUCUCAGUGAUAAAUCUAAAAAUCUUGAAGAAUCUGAGAACUUGGAAGACAAUUGCAACUUAGCUUCAGAAGUGCAAAGAGACGAGGCUGAUGGUGAAGUAAUAUCAGAAGCAGAUCUUAAAGAGGAAAUUUUUGCCAAUACUUCUGUCGAAAUUAAUAUCAACGCCUCAAAGGAAGACAUUAACAACGAUGUAAGUAAACUUGAAUCCUCAACGCCUUCAACCGUUGUAAUUCAACAAAAAGAUAGUUCAAUGGGCAAUCAAAUAUCUGUUACCGAGUCUCCAACUGAAGUAGUACUAGCGGAGCAAAAUAACAGCGGCCACAUAAUGGAGGAGGAUCAACACAGAAGCAUUCUAAUAAACGAAGAAGUGCCGCAAAGUCGUCUCACAUCACCAACUGACGACAACAGUUCGGUUUGUAUCUCAGAAGCUGGUGCCGAGUUUGGUUCACCAACCUCAAUGCUGGACGAUGAACGUUUACCUACGUUGACUGGUAGGCUUAUGACGCCAACCGACGGAAUAGUGGAGACAGUGCCUGCGCGAGCCACAGAAGCGAAAAUUAUUAAUGAGCAACAGACGCAAGUUACUGGAGAGUGCGAGAAAUUAGAUGGAAUACUAAUUAACGAAAAGGAAGUGGUUACCGAAACUGCGGUUGGUGCAACAGCUGGCGAAAUUCAAGCACAUAACGAAGAGGAAGUAGAUGUGCUACAAAGUGAAACUGUUUCUAGAGUUAUUGCUGAAAAUGCAGAAAGCGCAACAACAACACCAGGAGUUGUAGUCGAAGAGGCACUUGCAGCAAACGACCCACUCGUAGAAGGGUUGAAGGAAAAGGGAGAUGCACAUGAAAGUGCUCAACACAUUGUAUGUGACUUUAAUGGCGGUAAAGUUGUUCACACUACCAAGAGUGAGAGUAAUACAGAAAGCUCUGCUGAGAGUAACGAAGAUGUUGUACUUGAAAUGUCUGCUGAAUUAGAGGCAGGCGAACUGCGAAAUGUGGUGCAAACGACUAAUGAUAAGCACACCCUCCCAAGUGAGACCACAGCUGAGCAAGAGAGAGAUAAUAUUGAAGGCUUCAGCACGCAACAACACAACACACACGUAGCAGCUGAACAACAACCGGUUAAAAAUAAUAGCUUAAAACAAGAUUUGAUAGAGGAAUUGAUAUCUAAGGAAGUAUUAGCAGCACAAGUGCAUAUUGAACGGUCGCAAGCCGAAGACUCCGACAUUGACGAUGACUUUAUCGAGAGUCCACCACAUGAACCGCUUUCUGGACAUGAGGGUGAGGCAGAACCGUUACAAACAAAAAAUAAAAUGUUAACUAAAUCUCAAAAGCGCCAUUCGUUGGGGGAACAACACAAUUCUACUGGCAACUCAUCCGCAGUCAUUUUAGAAAAUACCAAAGAAACGAUUAGUAGAAAGCGGCUAUCUCGAACAACUAGAGUACACGAAAAAUCUCAUAAUUUCAUGAAAGAGCUCGAUCUUAUCGAUUUACAUGAUGCAACAAAGAAGGGUGAAGAUAACGAAAGGACAUCCGCAAAGGAACAACAAAUGUCGUCACGUCAGAACAAACGAAAAUCAACGAGAUCAUCGAAAUUGGUCGAAACAGUGAACGAAGCAAACAAAAAAUGCGAAACGGAUGAAUUAGUUACUGCUUGCGCCCAGGUAGUAACCGAUGAUGCAAACACUGAAGAAGAAAUAGCAUUUUGUCAGACACUAAACGAACAUGCGUCAGCUGAAAAGCAACACAAAGGCGAGCAGUAUUGUGAAGCAAGUGGCGAAGAUACAAACUCACCUGCCUUAAAAUCUAAUUCUUCUCGCAAGCGACGUGGCAUAACAAAAUCAGCUCUUCGUCGUGACGUAGGAGCAGCUCAUAUUUUCACUAACCCAAAUGCAAACCGCGACUCAGUUGAUGAAGACACACCGAUACAACACACCAAAAGCAGAAGAGUAGAUAGUCCAGAUAAUGAUAGCGGUAGCUUUGAAAUUAUUCAAACAACUGAAGAUAUGAAAGACACUUCAGUCGAAGUAGCUAACUAUGAGAAUAUAUCUGAAGUGGUGGAGCAGGUGGAAGUAGUCGAAGAUGGUGAAGGCAAUGAUAACAAUGAAGCGACUAGUUCUUUGGUUUUGGAAGAUGAUCAAUGCAUAAUUGAAGAGGUGUAUUUAAACGAUGCAAUGUCUAUGCAGCAAAUAGCUUUACAAACGGCCCCACUAAAUAAUGCUACACUCGAGGAGGCCGGCACAGAAUCAACACACUCUGAUUUAAAUUCAUUUCGUACAAUGGAGGUACCAAAUGCUGUGGAGUUUGUAGACUACAUCUCAAUUGAUCAACAACAACCAAUAGAAGAGGUGAUAGUCGGUGCAAAUAAUAACGUGGAGGCGAUGGUUGAUAAUGAUACACCAAACAACUUCAACAAUAGUUCAAAUGUAGUGAAUACAAGUUCGAAUAAACAGCGAACAUUGUCCUCUACACUCACUUCUCAGCCAAACGCGGAAAACGUGAAUAUCAACGUUUCCCCCAUGGAAAAGGUACGCAUUGAUGUGGACGUCGCCAAUCCACUUUCCACACAAAUAGCCAAUAUUUUAGCAACAAAAUCUGGCGCAUCAUCUAAUGUUAAACAAAGAAAGUCUAACCUGGAAGAUUCUAUACCCUCCUACAUAAUUGAAAGACCUAGCCAAGGCGUUGGCGCACACCAACAACAUAGUACGUCUUCUACGCUGGAUUUUACGGGCGAACAAGAUGCCGUUGCGCAUGUGCAACAAAUGUGCCCCCAAGUGAAAAUCACACGCAAGGAGAAGUUUAUUGAAGUGCGGCAAACUAGUGCAGUACAACAAGAAUCUGUUGUUGCGACCACAGCAGGAGCGGUAUUCGAUAUCAAUAAUAUGCCAAUUGUUCUCGGCAAUGAGCACUUUAUGUCCGCACAGGGUGACAUGCAAAUUGUGUUGACGACAUCCACAGAGCCGGAGGGACAAAUGUUGCAAGAUGGUCCUCACAUUUUACAACAACAAAUCAUACAACCUGCUUACAGGUCGGGACAGCAUCGAAAACGUAAGAGUUCCACAAAUCAGCACCAACAACAGCUGCAGCAGCAUCAACAAAGCAACAGCGCAGGUAGCAAUAAACCUGGAAUAAUUAUAAUCAAGGCAAGUACAAGUGAAUUUCCGACAUCGUCCACAGACACAACAACCACUUACAAUUUGGGCUCGGGUGUGACACUGCGUCCUAUAGCUGAACCAAAGCAGAAGCGUCAACAACAUCAACAACAAGUGAAACAGCAGCAACAACAACAACAACUGAAGCAGCAGCAGCAGCAACAGCACCAGCAAUUGACAGGUCGCAAACAUGUUGGCAAAACGAUAACAUUGCCUAGUAGUAUAACUGUAAAACAACGUCAGCAAAUAGUGACUGAUGAUGCACCAAAUCCCGCUGAAUUAGCGUCAACACCAUCAAAUGUGGUCGCCAGUGAUCAGCAGCUGCUACAACCACCAUUAAAUACAACAAGCGGCAACCGAACGCAAAAACGUAAUCUUCCAACGACGAAUUCACGUCGCCAAUCACAAUCACAGUCGCAGCCAGUUCAAAAACGGCGUUUAACUGCCACUGCCAGCAAUGCAGUUGAGCUGCAGCAGCAUGAGCAACAAUAUGAGAUUGGCGACGAUGCUGCAAUACUGAAUCGGCGGCUCAGCUAUCAUGAUGGAAAUGCUCAGCCACCAGCUAAAGUUCAUCGCUUGACCGCGCCAGAGCCAACGGCAUUCGAUAGCAGUCUCAAUGAGCCAACGUUUGUGACGGCAGCGGAGCAGCAACUAUUACAACUACAAGAGCAACAUCAUCUAGUACAAUCGCCAACAACGACGCAGCCACCUCCCCUACACCCGCUUAACAAUCGCAAGCAGCGUCGUUUGUCGCAGCACAAUCGAAGAAUGAGUACGAAAGUCGAGGCUCCACCACCACCGCUGAGGGUUGACGAACAACAGGAGCAGCAGGAAGAACAAUUGGAGCAUACGCAAAUGGUGUUGUUGGAUCCACAAGAGUGCUUAGAGCUGCAUCAAGAGCAGCUACAUGCAACUGCAAUGCGAAUAGCGGAUUUCGUGUCAUCGCCUUCAGUACACCUGCUCCCAGCGGACGAAGAGAGUGAUAACGACGAACCUGUUGUCUAUACCGAAGAAAUUCUAUCUGCCCCAAUUGAAGAGGAUGAACACACUCCAUCGGUAAUGGCGGUGCCAUCACAAGCAGUACCCGGUUAUCCGGAAACUUUGCUACUAUGUCGGAGAGUAGGCGAUGAAUGGGUACCGAUUGUAGCUCAGCCUUAUUACUACACCGUAUGCGACCAGCAAUUGAGACCCAUACCCAAGGAAGUGCUUAUUGGUCAUCCCAUACUGACACCAGAUGCAGACAAAACAGUGGAGCUGACGCCAGCGCCACAAGUCGUAAUAGAGGAUACGGUCCAUAUACAAAUCGGUACAGAGCAAUUAAGUAUGGGUUAUCCACAGUUUUUUGAGGUAAUGCGUUGUACUGAAAGUGCACUCGAUUUGCAAGACGAAUCCGGCAAUGUAAUUCAUCUUACCCGAGAAAUGAUGGAUUCAAUCCAACAAGAUGAAGGUUUUCAAGAAAAAUUCCGACAACUGCAACAGAUUUGGGAAGAACAACAAUUAGCGGAGCAACAGCAAUUAGAAGAGCAACAACAAUUGGAACAACAGUUGUUAUUACAACAAAUGCAAUCAGAUGAGGAACUAGAUCCCAAUGACAUGACAAUGCUACGAAUAGACACUUCACAAGGGAUUCAAAUUUUAGAAUCUCCCGACUCCAAUUACAUAAUUCAACAGUCCAUAACACAGCCACCACUUUCGCCUCCAUGCACACGACCGGCACUUACAAAUGCUACAAAUGCGCUACUCAACCAAACGCCCAUCAUGUCACCACUGGAAAAACCAUCAACCGCCGUUCCUGCUGCACUCUUGGCGGAAAAUUCUGGCCAACAAAUCGACAUAACGUCAACAACAACAACGCCCGAACAACUGAUCGCAGCUGGAUAUAUAGCAGGCGAUACAUCAAGUGAUACGUCAGGUUAUCGCCCAACUCUGGGGGAUAGCCUAGCCGCAUUAGGUGUUGUACCAACUCAACCUACACUGCUACCCACCACAGUAACCAAUCCGGCCAUUGCGCCACCAAAGUCUGAUUUAAUACCGAAUAUGGCAACCGCUGCACAAAUGCACGCGCAAUACCGUCAUGCACAACGUGCAAUAUACAACGACCCCGGAAGUUAAUAUUGCCCUAAUUCUCUUUAUGUAGAAAAUCCGCCCAAUAGCUUUGUAGAGGAUUUGCGUAGGGCGGAGAAUGGUGCGGCUGAUAUUGGCGCUGAUGCAAGUGUUGGAGAACCUGUUGGUCCUAGUGUGGAGCUGGGUGUGGAUGAGAUAAAUGAUAUGGAGAUGGAGGAUAUAAAUAUGGAUGCAAAUGUGCUUUAUAUGUAGCCUUCUCCUUAGCUGAGAAUACCGUAAGUCUUAAGUGAAUACAACAUGUGAAUUAGUGUAAACCAGCUUAAUUAUCGCUUUAGUACAUUAAAUUAAAUAAAGUUAAUUAUUUUUAUGCUCUUUGCAAAAGUACGUGCUUAAUGUUAUAG
RNAcentral lists this unclassified non-coding RNA (9335 nucleotides) under Ceratitis capitata (Mediterranean fruit fly). RNAcentral describes it as "uncharacterized LOC101453689, transcript variant X1". Lineage: Eukaryota; Metazoa; Arthropoda; Insecta; Diptera; Tephritidae. The record is from RNAcentral.